CAACAGUGAGGUGUCGCUGUCUGCCCAUGGAAAGAGGCCAGUUUGCAGUAACCUUCCUAAGGCACAACUCAUUUCUGGCAAAUGCCACCAGAUUUACUUGUAUGAAAAACAUAAGGAAAAGCUCUUCAUUUUUACUGGCAUGGAAAGAAAACCUACAAAUCAAGACCAUAUAUUCAUUUUUAUUUCUGUAAACAAAUUAAUCAAAUCGAAUGUAUCCAUAAGAAUUAAGCCUCUUACUUUUGUCACACUGCCCUAGCCACAACCUGUUAGUCAGAUUGCUUUGUAGAUCUAGUUCUAUUUUAAAUACAGGAAUGUGUAGAAAACUAA
This is a long non-coding RNA of Mustela erminea (ermine), 327 nucleotides long. RefSeq lists it as uncharacterized. The transcript is spliced from 2 exons. The record is from RefSeq and is a predicted model, not a curated record. Lineage: Eukaryota; Metazoa; Chordata; Mammalia; Carnivora; Mustelidae.